UUUUCUCUCACCCACGCGGCCAUCUCCCCACUUAUCUCCUUCUCCAACCUCCUAAUCCAUCUAAUGGGAUCCCUCCCUGGCCAGUGAUGUGCAUCGCCUUCACACAGGGGCGGCAAUCGAUUCGUUUGGUGGCGGACUUGAGGGAGACUCGAUGGGCGGCGAGCGAUUUGAUGCGGCGGAGGUUGGGGGACAGAGACCGGCCGGCGGGUGCCUCAGGGCUUCUUCUUCCUCGUCCACCCCCUCCAGAUGUGGCGGCGCACAUGAGGCGGCGGCGGCGGCUCUAAUCCCGCGGUUCAUUCUGGUGGCCGUGAUUUGGUGCGGGCGUGCCGUUCCGCUGCCUGGGCCGGCGAAUCCUGACCUCUCCGCUCUGUUUCUGUCCUGCAGGUAGCCGUGGUCCCACUUCUCGGGCGGGAUUUGCGGCACUGAGGCGGCCGGCGCGACGCGAGCUUGGGGUUGUGCUUGUGCCCGCCGAGGGGCGUGGCUACCGGCCACUCAAUCGGGCACCGGAGGAAGCAUAAGGAGGAGGGGAUGCUGCGGUGCGCCGUGAUCUUAUCCCGGCUGCGUGGUUAGGUUUUGGGCGAGGAUGGAGGGGACGAGGGCGGCGGAGUUGGCCGGCGGCGGGGCCGGGGAUGUGCAGAUUAAGGUCAGAGGAAGCAUCUGCUACGAGGAACAUCUUCGUCUUCAACCUACAGGUGGAAUAUGCAGAGCAAGCACGGGCGUGCAUCCGUGCCGCCUUGGGUAGCCACCCCAGAUUCGUCGUGCCCCUGCACAUUAUGAUCUGAUCGCUCAAGCUGGUACGGAAAAUCCUCGAAUUCUUCUAGUGUCUCAAACUUAUGUAGUAAAUUGAUUUCCUGCUUAAUCGCUGUCAAUUUUUGUUGUUCGACUCUGCAAACUGCAAGUUCCCUGCUCCGUGGUAGGAGUAGAGUAGAUAUUCACAUCAAUAAAAAAAAUCUUUUGAACGUUGGGCGUACAUACAGUUCUCUCGGUUUGAUUGCUUCUCGGUUGGGUUGCGUGUUGUUUACAGAUCCUGAGGAGAGGUGAAAAACUACCAGCAUGUACAAUGCUCGUCAUGUUUGGCGUACAACCUGUUGCGUGGCAAUGACGGCUUUGCAGGGCGGCGGUGUUGGCGCUGGAGACCACCUUUGGCUCGGCUCCUUGUCGCCGUUUUGCCAUCCGCCCUUGCGCACGUCCCUCCUGGCAAAACUCUAGUCGUCGUGCGGGGAUUGGUUGCCAUCGACGUUGUUGCCUUGGAGCUACCAGCGCGUGAUUUGACCUAUGACGUUUCAUGCCUGAGUGCUAUUUAUUGGACUCACUCCACUUGAUCCCAAGUGAUGCGAUCAUACAGGACAAACAAUUUCCUUUGAAGGUCUGUCUAGCCUCCUCCCUUGUCUGUUCGUAGUUGCUGCUUUCUGGCAAGCCGUACAAAUUGGUCUACCACAACCCACAGCCGCCCCCCCCUGCAUUUUGAAACAAAUGGAAUUAAGAUUCGAAGUUAGUAGAAAAUUGAUAACAUUUUGAGAAUCGUCACAUCACACAACCAAGUAAAAUCAUAUAGACAGAUGACACGAAAAUGGCGCAUCCAUGUAUUCAACAAUCACAUAGCAUGUUCUGUUUCACCCAGGAAAUAAAAAAAAUAAAAGAUCACAUAACAUAUUUUACUUAAAUUUAUUUCAUCACCUUAGUGAACUAGAGAAUAGAAGAAUAAUGUAUUUUUUGUUAUGAACAUGAAUAGUACAUCUAGUUCAGCAAAGAAAAGAAAAGAUAGGGAGAAAAUAUAUGAUUGUUUGAAACCAACUAUUUCAGUGAUAAUAUGCAAAUAUGGUAAUUGUUUGCUUAAUGAAAUGUUCACUAUAUAUGUGCAGAAGUAGAACAGAGUUAUAUAGGUGUUACCCUGGUGAUUUGGCUCUGCUUCUCCUGUUUCGAAAGAGGAUUUUCUUCUUUCUGCUAUCUGGCAGUCCUUAUCUGAUAAUGGCUAUCGUUUGCGAUUGAUGAUAUUAUCUCUUAGUUUAAUUCUGCCUAUAGCGAAUAAUUUGAUUUCAUUCACCGUCCAUUAUUUAGCUACUUCAGUGGCCUGUAUACUAGCCUUGCUAUCUCUAGGAGAAACAUAAAUGUCUAACGAUGUUGCCAUUCCUGGGACUGAAAAAUGGUCAUGUUUUUCACGCCCAACAGGUGUUACCUUUUGAUAAAGCAUGCACAUUAUUUACAAUCUCUUUGUCCAUUUCAGGGGAGAGCAUUUCAAAGGAAGCACGGACUGGAGGUGUAAGGUUAGAUGGCAAGCUAUUUUGCUCAUGCAGUUUGAUGAUAAAAUUCAUGAAGUCCACUUGUUUAUUUGUCUCAUGAUUAAUGGUUAUUUUUUUAACUUCCAAAAAUCGGCUAGCAAGUGAUAUACUAUGAUUAAACAUGUCAUAAUCCAUUGAUUUAUGGUCACGGUUACAUUUGAUAAUUUAUAAUCACAUAAAUGAACUUAAAUUGUUUCGGGCCUGGCAUGCUAGCAUUGCUUUACAUUAUAGUACAAUGAAUAUAUGAUGGAAACAACAUCGCAAGAUCACUCAGCACUAUAGGCCAGCACAGAAAACACACAUACACUUCUAGUUUACAUGACGAGUACUUCAUUUGUUUGCAUCAUCCAUGCAUGUUUAGCUUUCAAAAUAAAUUAUUAUGUUGUAACAAAACCUUAAUCUAAGCUGAUCAAAAGUAUGUGUAGAAUAGGGCUGCUUCGUGCAUUCCUAGGUGGUUUUCACCAAGUCAAUAAGCAGGUACAUAUAUGCUAGGUAUCCAAACGGUUGUAUAAUUGUAGUUGGUCUAAUUCUCUAUGAAAUUGUCCUUCUUUGCGUAAAGUGAAAUCUUCCCAGUUUUAUUAAUAGCAAAUGUUCUAUUUCUUGCAAAAGUGGGAUAAAACUGAAGUCUUGUUCUUUUCGAUCAAUUCGAGAAACAAAAACAAACCCUUGGCCAAUGGAAUUUUAGGGAGUAAAGAUAGAACAUAUGUGGUUGAAGGAAACAUGCUUGGAGAACAAUAUGUUGCAGUCUCUGUCCGUGGCUCAAUCUAGGAGAUGAGAACUGGUUAGACCAUAUGAAAAACUCCAAACAGCAGGAGAUGUUGGUUAUGUUAUUGCUUGGCCUUCCUCACAUGUAAGUAUGUUUCCAUACAACCAUCAAGUAUGCUCCAAUAUCCACAUUUAAGAUACUUUAGUUAUCAAAAUCUUUGUGGCUGUUUUUAGGUAAGAAAAAAACUAAGCCAACCACUCCAACGAAGCAUUUGUAUGAUACACUUAUAAUUUAUCAAAGAACAUCUUAUCUUGCACUUCUAAAAACAUUGUUCAUUUGCUUUUCUAGGGCGGUUCAGGAUUUGGAAAGAGAGUGCAUUAAGGGAGCCAGGAGUAAUUGGGUAGUUCAGGAUUUGAAAAGGGAGCCAGGAUUAGUUUGUGAAUGAACAAGUGGUGUUCCUUAUGUUAUAUUUUAGCUUAAUUGAGAAACAUAGUUCUAGACUAUAGGAUAUUUCUUAUUUAUUUGUAUGUUCUGUAUGAAUGUAUGUUAUUAUUCAGUUGUGAACUUUGGUGUAAGUAUCUACUCAGCUUGCCAAUUUUGAUAAUGCGAUGUUUGCAAAUGCAAUCUACGAC
Molecule: long non-coding RNA, 3617 nt
Filed under: Triticum aestivum (bread wheat)
Lineage: Eukaryota; Viridiplantae; Streptophyta; Magnoliopsida; Poales; Poaceae
Description: long non-coding RNA (TAES_LNC025152)
Source: RNAcentral